This 198-nucleotide ribosomal RNA is filed under the name uncultured bacterium. RNAcentral describes it as "partial 16S ribosomal RNA". It matches the Rfam family "Bacterial small subunit ribosomal RNA", at positions 328 to 539 of the family's 1533-position model. The record is from RNAcentral.
ACGCUCGACACCUACGGGAGGCAGCAGUGGGGAAUAUUGCAUAAUGGGGGAAACCCUGAUGCAGCGACGCCGCGUGAGUGAAGAAGUAUUUCGGUAUGUAAAGCUCUAUCAGCAGGGAAGAAGAUGACGGUACCUGAGUAAGAAGCCCCGGCUAACUACGUACCAGCAGCCGCGGUAAUCUGAGCGGGCUGGCAAGGC